RNAcentral lists this ribosomal RNA (51 nucleotides) under uncultured bacterium. RNAcentral describes it as "partial 16S ribosomal RNA". The record is from RNAcentral.
UGCCUAACCGCAAGGGGGGCGGUCGCCACGGUGAGAUUCAUGACUGGGGUG